This 768-nucleotide ribosomal RNA is filed under the name uncultured Euhalothece sp. RNAcentral describes it as "partial 16S ribosomal RNA". It matches the Rfam family "Bacterial small subunit ribosomal RNA", at positions 1 to 802 of the family's 1533-position model. The record is from RNAcentral. Lineage: Bacteria; Bacillati; Cyanobacteriota; Cyanophyceae; Chroococcales; Halothecacae.
GGCCGCGGGAAUUCGAUUAGAGUUUGAUCCUGGCUCAGGAUGAACGCUGGCGGCGUGCCUAACACAUGCAAGUCGAACGGACUCUUCGGAGUCAGUGGCGGACGGGUGAGUAACGCGUGAGAAUCUGCCUUCAGGAUGGGGACAACCGUUGGAAACGACGGCUAAUCCCCAAUGUGCCGCAAGGUGAAACAGGUUUCUGCCUGAAGAGGAGCUCGCGUCCGAUUAGUUAGUUGGUGAGGUAAAGGCUCACCAAGGCAGCGAUCGGUAGCUGGUCUGAGAGGAUGAGCAGCCACACUGGGACUGAGACACGGCCCAGACUCCUACGGGAGGCAGCAGUGGGGAAUUUUCCGCAAUGGGCGAAAGCCUGACGGAGCAACGCCGCGUGUGGGAAGAAGGCUCUUGGGCUGUAAACCACUUUUCUCAGGGAAGAAGUUCUGACGGUACCUGAGGAAUCAGCCUCGGCUAACUCCGUGCCAGCAGCCGCGGUAAUACGGAGGAGGCAAGCGUUAUUCGGAAUUAUUGGGCGUAAAGCGUCCGCAGGGGGUUGAUCAAGUCUGCUGUUAAAGGGUGGAGCUUAACUCCAUUAAGGCAGUGGAAACUGGUAGACUAGAGGGCGACAGGGGUAGAGGGAAUUCCCAGUGUAGCGGUGAAAUGCGUAGAGAUUGGGAAGAACACCGGUGGCGAAAGCGCUCUACUGGGUCGCGCCUGACCCUCAGGGACGAAAGCUAGGGGAGCGAAAGGGAUUAGAUACCCCUGUAGUCCUAGCCG